Molecule: non-coding RNA, 21 nt
Organism: Caenorhabditis elegans
Lineage: Eukaryota; Metazoa; Nematoda; Chromadorea; Rhabditida; Rhabditidae
Source: Ensembl
UUGCUUUACGUCCUUCAGGAA